RNAcentral lists this transfer RNA (73 nucleotides) under Nippostrongylus brasiliensis. It matches the Rfam family "tRNA". Rfam says of the family: Transfer RNA (tRNA) molecules are approximately 80 nucleotides in length. Their secondary structure includes four short double-helical elements and three loops (D, anti-codon, and T loops). Further hydrogen bonds mediate the characteristic L-shaped molecular structure. tRNAs have two regions of fundamental functional importance: the anti-codon, which is responsible for specific mRNA codon recognition, and the 3' end, to which the tRNAs corresponding amino acid is attached (by aminoacyl-tRNA synthetases). tRNAs cope with the degeneracy of the genetic code in two manners: having more than one tRNA (with a specific anti-codon) for a particular amino acid; and 'wobble' base-pairing, i.e. permitting non-standard base-pairing at the 3rd anti-codon position. The record is from Rfam by way of RNAcentral. Lineage: Eukaryota; Metazoa; Nematoda; Chromadorea; Rhabditida; Heligmosomidae.
AUCUCAAUAGCACAGUGGUUAGCGCACAGCCCCGGAUAGGUUUGAGACGCGGGUUCGAAUCCCGCCUGAGAUG